UGUGCCCCGGACUCUGGGAUAGCCGGUCGAAAGGCCGGGUAAUACCAGAUGAUAUACCUUUGUCGCAUGACAGAGGUCUCAAAGGUCCGCCGGUCUGGGAGCAGGCGAUUUCGUAUCAGCUAGUUGGUGAGGUAACGGCUCACCAAGGCGACGACGCGUAGCCGGACUGAGAGGUUGGCCGGCCACAUUGGGACUGAGACACUGCCCAGACUCCUACGGGGGGCUGCAGUAACGAAUCUUCCGCAAUGCACGAAAGUGUGACGGAGCGACGCCGCGUGUGGGACGAAGCCCUUCGGGGUGUAAACCACUGUCAGAGGAAAGAAAGUUCUGAUCUACCUCAGAGGAAGAGGCGGCUAACUCUGUGCCAGCAGCCGCGGUAAUACAGAGGCCUCGAGCGUUAGGCGGAAUCACUGGGCUUAAAGCGUGUGUAGGCGGACUUCUAAGUACCUUGUGAAAUCCCACGGCUUACCCGUGGAACUGCUGGGUAUACUGGUUGUCUUGAGCCAUCUAGGGGCUACCGGAACAAGUGGUGGAGCGGUGAAAUGCGUAGAUAUCAUUUGGAACGCCAAUGGUGAAAACAGGUAGCUGGGGAUGUGCUGACGCUGAGACACGAAAGCCAGGGGAGCGAACGGGAUUAGAUACCCCGGUAGUCCUGGCCGUAAACGAUGUCGACUAGAUCGUGGUACCUCUGACGGUUUCACGGUCGAAGCAAAAGUGCUAAGUCGACCGCCUGGGAAGUACGGUCGCAAGGCUAAAACUCAAAGGAAUUGACGGGGGCUCACACAA
Molecule: ribosomal RNA, 786 nt
Filed under: uncultured bacterium
Lineage: Bacteria
Description: bacterial SSU rRNA
Rfam family: Bacterial small subunit ribosomal RNA
Source: RNAcentral